RNAcentral lists this ribosomal RNA (293 nucleotides) under uncultured eukaryote. RNAcentral's name for it is "partial 18S ribosomal RNA". It matches the Rfam family "Eukaryotic small subunit ribosomal RNA", at positions 6 to 299 of the family's 1831-position model. The record is from RNAcentral.
GGUUGAUCCUGCCAGUAGUCAUAUGCUUGUCUCAAAGAUUAAGCCAUGCAUGUCUAAGUAUAAACAAAUUUAUACAGUGAAACUGCGAAUGGCUCAUUAAAUCAGUUAUAGUUUAUUUGAUGAUAAUUUACUACAUGGAUAACUGUGGUAAUUCUAGAGCUAAUACAUGCACAAAAAUCCCAACGAAAGAAGGGAUGUAUUUAUUAGAUACAAAACCAAUUCAUGGAAACAUGAUUUUGGUGAAUCAUAAUAACUUUUCGAAUCGUAUAGCCUUGAGCUGACGAUGCAUCAUU